RNAcentral lists this long non-coding RNA (675 nucleotides) under Equus caballus (horse). RNAcentral's name for it is "lncRNA (ENSECAG00000052024.1)". The record is from RNAcentral. Lineage: Eukaryota; Metazoa; Chordata; Mammalia; Perissodactyla; Equidae.
AAACCCCAAGCUGCUGAAGUGGAGCAAGUGAACUCAACUGCUGUGCCACUGGGCUGGCCCCAACAGAGAAAAGAAAGAACAUAGACAUGAAAGGGCGAAAGAUUGCCACAGUUUCACUGUGGAUUAUAGCUGUUGGGGCAAAAGCUAUGCAAAGAAGGCAAGAAAGCCUCCACAAGUUCAAGGUCACCAGCCAGUAAUCUAACUGUCUAAUGGAAAGAAGUAAGAAAUCACUAUAAGAAGAUAACAGAAGCUAGAAUCUCUACAGCAUAUGAUCUACAAUGCCCUGUGUAAAUAAAAACUAAUAGGAUUUUCUCACUCAAUUUUCCAUCUCCGGGACUCUUCUCUGACCCUUCAAGUCUAUAGACAGCAGCUUUCUGCUCGGGUCCUAACCGUCCUGAUGCCAUGUGGACUAGGGAGUGCCUUCAAGAGAAAAGUUAUGGAAAAGUGGACCUCACCCAACGAAUAUGGUUCCUUUCUUUAAAUGCUCAAAUUCCUUUUAAUAGCUGCCUACUUUUGGUUGUUCUCCAGUGACUUCAAGAGGUUUUUUGUUUUGUUUUUUUUCUCAGAGUUUAAUUGUUGUCUGUGGGAGGGUUCGUCCAUGACAAGCAGGUCUACCACUACCAGAACCAUAACUCCCAAUGUGUUGGUUUUAAAGAGGCCAAAUUUAUACACCCC